This 292-nucleotide ribosomal RNA is filed under the name uncultured bacterium. Its description in RNAcentral is "partial 16S ribosomal RNA". It matches the Rfam family "Bacterial small subunit ribosomal RNA", at positions 505 to 796 of the family's 1533-position model. The record is from RNAcentral.
GUGUCAGCCGCCGCGGUAAUACGUAGGGACCAAGCGUUGUUCGGAUUUACUGGGCGUAAAGGGCGCGUAGGCGGCGUGACAAGUCACUUGUGAAAUCUCUGAGCUUAACUCAGAACGGCCAAGUGAAACUGUUGUGCUAGAGUGCAGAAGGGGCAAUCGGAAUUCUUGGUGUAGCGGUGAAAUGCGUAGAUAUCAAGAGGAACACCUGAGGUGAAGACGGGUUGCUGGGCUGACACUGACGCUGAGGCGCGAAAGCCAGGGGAGCAAACGGGAUUAGAAACCCCUGUAGUCC